CAUCGCCCCUUGAAAUAAUCUAAAUAAGGGGUACUGCCUGCCCAGUGAUAAAAAUUAAACGGCCGCGGUAUUUUGACCGUGCAAAGGUAGCAUAAUAGUUUGUCCUUUAAUUGAGGACUAGAAUGAAUGGCAACACGAAAGCUUAACUGUCUCCCAACUAAAAAAAGAAAUUUUUCUCUUUGUGAAGAAACAAAGAUAAAAACGUAAGACGAGAAGACCCUGUCGAGCUUAAGAAAAUUUUUAUAAGAUAAACAUAGAUAAUUUAUUCAUCUACUAACAACUAAAUAAAAAUAUCUUUGGUUGGGGCAACCACGAAGAAAAAAUAACCUUCGUUUACAAAAAAAAAUUUACAAAUUUAAAAUUUUUUCAAAAUAAAUUAGAUCCAGAAAAUACUGAUUAAAGAAAAAAGUUACCGCAGGGAUAACAGCGUUAUUUUCUCAAAGAGUCCCUAUUAACGAGAAAGUUUGCGACCUCGAUGUUGGAUCGGGGCAUCCCAGAGGUGCAGAAGCCUCUAAAGGUAGGUCUGUUCGACCUUUAUAGCCCUACGUGA
Molecule: ribosomal RNA, 550 nt
Filed under: Antedon sp. MMS-2014
Lineage: Eukaryota; Metazoa; Echinodermata; Crinoidea; Comatulida; Antedonidae
Description: partial 16S ribosomal RNA
Rfam family: Bacterial large subunit ribosomal RNA
Source: RNAcentral